AAACACCACUCUUUUGGGGUGGGGUUAGUAAACCCCACCCCAAACCGGAUUAGUGGGGUUUACUAACCCCACUCCCCCUCCCAACUUUAACCCCGCACGCAUCCCGAGCCCUCACAAUUUUUUUCUUUAUCAAUCAUUAACCCCACUCCCCCUCCCAACUUUAAUCCCGCACGCAUCCCGAGCUCUCACCUUUUUCUUCUUUAUCAAUCAUUAUCUUUUUAUCCCACCUACUCCAACCAAACACUUUUUUUCACUAUCCUAUACUAACUCCAAUCUCCAACCAAACACAAAAAAAUUUUAACAUCAUUUUAACCCUGAACUUAACCCUAUCCCUGAAAUAGCUACUUUUUCUUAAUCCCGAACCAAACGGGGCUAGAAGAAUAAGAGGCAUGUAU
This 395-nucleotide long non-coding RNA is filed under the name Ananas comosus (pineapple). RNAcentral describes it as "long non-coding RNA (ACOM_LNC018601)". The record is from RNAcentral. Lineage: Eukaryota; Viridiplantae; Streptophyta; Magnoliopsida; Poales; Bromeliaceae.